Molecule: ribosomal RNA, 493 nt
Filed under: uncultured bacterium
Lineage: Bacteria
Description: partial 16S ribosomal RNA
Rfam family: Bacterial small subunit ribosomal RNA
Source: RNAcentral
AGUGAACGCUGGCGGUAGGCCUAACACAUGCAAGUCGAACGGCAGCACAGUAAGAGCUUGCUCUUACGGGUGGCGAGUGGCGGACGGGUGAGGAAUACAUCGGAAUCUACUUUUUCGUGGGGGAUAACGUAGGGAAACUUACGCUAAUACCGCAUACGACCUACGGGUGAAAGCAGGGGAUCUUCGGACCUUGCGCGAUUGAAUGAGCCGAUGUCGGAUUAGCUAGUUGGCGGGGUAAAGGCCCACCAAGGCGACGAUCCGUAGCUGGUCUGAGAGGAUGAUCAGCCACACUGGAACUGAGACACGGUCCAGACUCCUACGGGAGGCAGCAGUGGGGAAUAUUGGACAAUGGGCGCAAACCUGAUCCAGCCAUACCGCGUGGGUGAAGAAGGCCUUCGGGUUGUAAAGCCCUUUUGUUGGGAAAGAAAAGCAGCAGGUUAAUACCCCGCUGUUCUGACGGUACCCAAAGAAUAAGCACCGGCUAACUUCGUGC